RNAcentral lists this ribosomal RNA (398 nucleotides) under uncultured bacterium. RNAcentral's name for it is "partial 16S ribosomal RNA". It matches the Rfam family "Bacterial small subunit ribosomal RNA", at positions 523 to 918 of the family's 1533-position model. The record is from RNAcentral.
AUACGUAGGGUGCGAGCGUUGUCCGGAAUUACUGGGCGUAAAGAGCUCGUAGGUGGUUUGUCGCGUCGUCUGUGAAAUUCCGGGGCUUAACUCCGGGCGUGCAGGCGAUACGGGCAUAACUUGAGUACUGUAGGGGAGACUGGAAUUCCUGGUGUAGCGGUGAAAUGCGCAGAUAUCAGGAGGAACACCGGUGGCGAAGGCGGGACUCUGGGCAGUAACUGACGCUGAGGAGCGAAAGCAUGGGUAGCGAACAGGAUUAGAUACCCUGGUAGUCCAGGCCGUAAACGGUGGGCGCUAGGUGUAGGGGUCUUCCACGACUUCUGUGCCGUAGCUAACGCAUUAAGCGCCCCGCCUGGGGAGUACGGCCGCAAGGCUAAAACUCAAAUGAAUUGACGGGG